CCGACCUGAGAGGGUGAUCGGCCACACUGGAACUGAGACACGGUCCAGACUCCUACGGGAGGCAGCAGUAGGGAAUCUUCCGCAAUGGGCGAAAGCCUGACGGAGCAACGCCGCGUGAGUGAUGAAGGUCUUCGGAUCGUAAAGCUCUGUUGUUAGGGAAGAACAAAUGUGUAAGUAACUGUGCACAUCUUGACGGUACCUAACCAGAAAGCCACGGCUAACUACGUGCCAGCAGCCGCGGUAAUACGUAGGUGGCAAGCGUUAUCCGGAAUUAUUGGGCGUAAAGCGCGCGUAGGCGGUUUUUUAAGUCUGAUGUGAAAGCCCACGGCUCAACCGUGGAGGGUCAUUGGAAACUGGAAAACUUGAGUGCAGAAGAGGAAAGUGGAAUUCCAUGUGUAGCGGUGAAAUGCGCAGAGAUAUGGAGGAACACCAGUGGCGAAGGCGGCUUUCUGGUCUGCAACUGACGCUGAUGUGCGAAAGCGUGGGGAUCAAACAGGAUUAGAUACCCUGGUAGUCCACGCCGUAAACGAUGAGUGC
This 537-nucleotide ribosomal RNA is filed under the name Staphylococcus pseudintermedius. RNAcentral describes it as "bacterial SSU rRNA". It matches the Rfam family "Bacterial small subunit ribosomal RNA", at positions 287 to 816 of the family's 1533-position model. Lineage: Bacteria; Bacillati; Bacillota; Bacilli; Caryophanales; Staphylococcaceae. The record is from RNAcentral.